Long non-coding RNA from Podarcis muralis (Common wall lizard), 436 nucleotides. RefSeq lists it as uncharacterized. NCBI's taxonomy places the organism in Eukaryota, Metazoa, Chordata, Lepidosauria, Squamata, Lacertidae. The record is from RefSeq and is a predicted model, not a curated record.
GAUUGUGAAAACCAUUCUGGGGUUGCUGUUCUGUGCAGAGAAUAGGGCUCUCCUAAGAAUGAUCUGCAGUUUCCAGGAGUGUGACGGAAGCCACUAUGUGGUAUAAAAACACUUUCGAUGUCUGGUGCAGGGCCAAGCAGCAAUCCAAGGGCACUUUGCUGCCUAGGGGGCUUCAGCUGCAGGAUUUUCUCUGGCGUUCAUGGCAAGCUGCUGAUUCCAGGACAGGCGCCUGCUAAAGAGCCCCCGGGAGGCAGAGAAGGCAGAAGAGAGAAUGGGUGUUUCAGGGACAAGAUACUGGGUGCUGGUCAGGGUUUCACCUACAUCAUCCCUACACAGAUGUAGGAAAGCUAUUAUGAAAUCUAUUCUGUAUUUUUCAUUCUCUUCUUUAAUUUUAAAAGAAGAAGCAGCUAAUAAAACAAAUGGAUAAGUUCCUCUA